RNAcentral lists this long non-coding RNA (315 nucleotides) under Chlamydomonas reinhardtii. RNAcentral describes it as "long non-coding RNA (CREI_LNC000109)". The record is from RNAcentral. Lineage: Eukaryota; Viridiplantae; Chlorophyta; Chlorophyceae; Chlamydomonadales; Chlamydomonadaceae.
ACGCGCAGGUCUGGCGCGGCCUCGCCGGCCUCCCCCCCUCCUCGUCGUCCGCCUCCACCGCCGCCGCCUCUGCGUCCGCCGCCUCCUCUGCCGCCAGCGGCACCGCCAGCACCCUGGGCAGCUCGGAGGGCUACUGGCUCCGCGACCUGGGCAGCGGCCGCGGCACCUGGGUCAACGGCAAGCGCCUGCCCGACGGCGCCACGGUGCAGCUGUGGCCCGGCGACGCGGUGGAGUUCGGCCGGCACCCCAGCCACGAGGUGUUCAAGGUGAAGAUGCAGCACGUGACGCUGCGCAGCGACGAGCUCAGCGGCCAGG